ACGCUCGACACCUACGGGGGGCAGCGGUGGGGAAUAUUGCACAAUGGGGGAAACCCUGAUGCAGCGACGCCGCGUGAGCGAAGAAGUAUUUCGGUAUGUAAAGCUCUAUCAGCAGGGAAGAAACUGACGGUACCUGACUAAGAAGCACCGGCUAAAUACGUGCCGNAGCCGCGGUAAUCUGAGCGGGCGUGGCGAAGGCG
Molecule: ribosomal RNA, 200 nt
Filed under: uncultured bacterium
Lineage: Bacteria
Description: partial 16S ribosomal RNA
Rfam family: Bacterial small subunit ribosomal RNA
Source: RNAcentral